GUGAUAGUGGCUUAGUGGUAGAGUGCAUACGUUGUGUUAUGAUGUUCUGGGUUCAAUCACCAGCUUCCCCC
Non-coding RNA from Dallia pectoralis (Alaska blackfish), 71 nucleotides. The record is from the annotation of a GenBank genome assembly. NCBI's taxonomy places the organism in Eukaryota, Metazoa, Chordata, Actinopteri, Esociformes, Umbridae.